RNAcentral lists this ribosomal RNA (429 nucleotides) under Verrucomicrobiota bacterium. Its description in RNAcentral is "Verrucomicrobia bacterium partial 16S ribosomal RNA". It matches the Rfam family "Bacterial small subunit ribosomal RNA", at positions 355 to 776 of the family's 1533-position model. The record is from RNAcentral. Lineage: Bacteria; Pseudomonadati; Verrucomicrobiota.
UAGGGAAUCUUCCGCAAUGGACGAAAGUCUGACGGAGCAACGCCGCGUGAGUGAAGAAGGAUUUCGGUUCGUAAAACUCUGUUGUUAGGGAAGAAAAAAUGUAUAGUAACUAUAUACAAAAGAGACGGUACCUAACCAGAAAGCCACGGCUAACUACGUGCCAGCAGCCGCGGUAAUACGUAGGUGGCAAGCGUUGUCCGGAAUUAUUGGGCGUAAAGCGCGCGCAGGUGGUUUAGAAAGUCUGAUGUGAAAGCCCACGGCUCAACCGUGGAGGGUCAUUGGAAACUAAUAAACUUAAGUGCAGGGGAGAAAAGUGGAAUUCCUGGUGUAGCGGUGAAAUGCGUAGAGAUUAGGAGGAACACCGGUGGCGAAAGCGGCUUUUUGGCCUGCAACUGACACUGAAGCGCGAAAGCGUGGGGAGCAAACAGG